CCUACGGGUGGCAGCAGUGAGGAAUAUUGGUCAAUGGACGAGAGUCUGAACCAGCCAAGUAGCGUGAAGGAUGACUGCCCUAUGGGUUGUAAACUUCUUUUAUAUGGGAAUAAAAUGUUCCACGUGUGGGAUUUUGUAUGUACCUUAUGAAUAAGGAUCGGCUAACUCCGUGCCAGCAGCCGCGGUAAUACGGAGGAUCCGAGCGUUAUCCGGAUUUAUUGGGUUUAAAGGGAGCGUAGGUGGAUUGUUAAGUCAGUUGUGAAAGUUUGCGGCUCAACCGUAAAAUUGCAGUUGAUACUGGCAGUCUUGAGUACAGUAGAGGUGGGCGGAAUUCGUGGUGUAGCGGUGAAAUGCUUAGAUAUCACGAAGAACUCCGAUUGCGAAGGCAGUUCACUGGACUGCAACUGACACUGAGGCUCGAAAGUGUGGGUAUCAAACAGGAUUAGAUACCCGAGUAGUC
This 460-nucleotide ribosomal RNA is filed under the name uncultured bacterium. RNAcentral describes it as "partial 16S ribosomal RNA". It matches the Rfam family "Bacterial small subunit ribosomal RNA", at positions 338 to 795 of the family's 1533-position model. The record is from RNAcentral.